GACGAACGCUGGCGGCGUGCUUAACACAUGCAAGUCGAACGGGAAGGCCCUGCUUUUGUGGGGUGCUCGAGUGGCGAACGGGUGAGUAACACGUGAGUAACCUGCCCUUGACUUUGGGAUAACUUCAGGAAACUGGGGCUAAUACCGGAUAGGAGCUCCUGCUGCAUGGUGGGGGUUGGAAAGUUUCGGCGGUUGGGGAUGGACUCGCGGCUUAUCAGCUUGUUGGUGGGGUAGUGGCUUACCAAGGCUUUGACGGGUAGCCGGCCUGAGAGGGUGGCCGGCCACAUUGGGACUGAGAUACGGCCCAGACUCCUACGGGAGGCAGCAGUGGGGAAUAUUGCACAAUGGGCGGAAGCCUGAUGCAGCAACGCCGCGUGCGGGAUGACGGCCUUCGGGUUGUAAACCGCUUUCGCCUGUGACGAAGCGUGAGUGACGGUAAUGGGUAAAGAAGCACCGGCUAACUACGUG
This 468-nucleotide ribosomal RNA is filed under the name uncultured bacterium. RNAcentral's name for it is "partial 16S ribosomal RNA". It matches the Rfam family "Bacterial small subunit ribosomal RNA", at positions 28 to 507 of the family's 1533-position model. The record is from RNAcentral.